Long non-coding RNA from Crotalus tigris (Tiger rattlesnake), 1326 nucleotides. RefSeq lists it as uncharacterized. Lineage: Eukaryota; Metazoa; Chordata; Lepidosauria; Squamata; Viperidae. The record is from RefSeq and is a predicted model, not a curated record. The transcript is spliced from 4 exons.
UGUUUGCUGAAGCUCCUUUCACCGGAGAGAGAGAGAAAAAAAAAACAGGGCUAUGCAUCUGCCUGCAGUCAUCAGAAUACCGAUUGUAUAUUUUAUGAAUGCUCAGCAAUUGGUUUUAAUUAGAAAGUGCACGAGAAGGAAUAAACCAGCCAAGCUGGUCGUAGAAGACUUGCCAAACCCAAGUCCUGCAGCUGUUCUUCGUAUGUUUUAGUCUCCAGUCCUUUGAUCAUCUUAGUUAAUGAUGGUAGUGCAUGGAUAGGACAUUUAAGUUGCUGCUCUAUUUCUGUGAACUGUCUGGCCCUGGUAAGUUUGAAUGGGCUGUUUUUAAUUCAAGAAAAGGUAACCUAAAGGCCAAAAGGAUGUCUCAAUCAGUCUGAAACGAUCCAUUGGGACCAAAGGUUUUACCUGCUGAGGACCGACCCAGAUUGGAUCCUGCAACAUUAUCCUGGGACAUGUAUAUUCGCCUUCAUUAGUUUUAUUUUUAUCUGAUUUAGGAACAUCAGCCUUCUUCUGAAAGAUCUUUCCUCCCAAGGCUUCAAUUCAUGCACCUUGGUGCUUCCCGGGUCCUGCUAAUGUUUGGCUAAAGACACAACAGAGGUGACUUUUUCAUGGGUUGAGCAGUCAAGACUACACUUUGGGGUGCAGAGUCAAGGGCAGUGCAGUGUGAGUCUGUAUCACACCUGGCACUUUUAAGGGUUCCGAUUUUAAAGAUGUACUUACCUGCUAUCUUGGGAGAAAGAAUUUAGGAUUGAUAGACAUCACAUGGUGAAUUGAUAAAAUCUUCCUUCCUUCCUGGUGAACAUGGUAAAGUUGGGGAUGGAAAACACCUUAUUGUCACUGACCUGUAUUUCCUUCCCACUCACUUGCUAGAGUCAGCUCUACUGCAAGCUGGGCAUGGCAGCUGCCUCGGGUGACAGAAAUCUGAAGGGGGCAGCAAGUCAUUGGAGUAGACAGGAAAAAACAUUCAGUUUGUCCUGCAUCCUAAAAUCUAUCCUUCCUCCUGCCUUCCAUUGCACGAGCCAGAAAGAGGGCUGUGAAAAUAUCUAGAGAUCCUUCACAUCCUGGACAUAAAACUGUUUCCACUUCUUCCCUCAAGAUGAUGCUACAGGGCACUGCACGCCAAAGCAACUAAACACAAGGACAGUUUUUCCCCACAUGCUAUUACUCUGCUAAACAACUAAUUCCCACAACACUGUCAAACUACCUAGUAGGGCUGUAUUACUGUUAUCCUUCUUGUCUUCUUUAUUACCUGUUUCUUAUCUUCUUAUAAUUAUAACUUUGUUUCUUGUAUUGUUUUAUUUAGUAUCCUAGUAUGAUUUACCUUGA